Molecule: ribosomal RNA, 422 nt
Filed under: uncultured eukaryote
Lineage: Eukaryota
Description: SSU rRNA
Rfam family: Eukaryotic small subunit ribosomal RNA
Source: RNAcentral
CAAUAGCGUAUAUUAAAGUUGUUGCGGUUAAAAAAGCUCGUAGUUGGAUUUCUGCCGAGGACGACCGGUCCGCCCUCUGGGUGAGCAUCUGGUUCGACCUGGGCAUCUUCUUGGAGAACGUUCCUGCACUUGAUUGGGUGGGGCGGUAUCCAGGACUUUACUUUGAUGGAAAGAUUAGAGUGUUUCAAGCAGGCACACGCCUUGAAUACAUUAGCAUGGAAUAAUAAGAUAGGACCUCGGUUCUAUUUUGUUGGUUUCUAGAGCUGAGGUAAUGAUUAAGAGGGACAGUUGGGGCGAUUCGUAUUUAAUGUCAGAGGUGAAAUUCUUGGAUUUAUGAAAGACGAACUAGUGCGAAAGCAUUUGCCAAGGAUGUUUUCAUUAAUCAAGAACGAAAGUUAGGGGUUCGAAGACGAUUAGAUACC